UCUCAAUCGGUCUAUUUCGGAAUAUGAAGGACGAGUUACUUUACGUCAGUUGGAAUCAAAUGAUCCACCGUCGAAUGUCUAACAUGGAUGUCUCCCAUGGCAACGCAUAGCGCCUCAUGACGAGAUCUUCACAAGACAACUUGUGACACUGAACGGCUAAAUCGUCAAGUGUUUCAAGUCGUACGGAAUGAAUGGAGAACUGCAGAUCCUGUGAGUGGCUUCGAGAACGGCGAAGAUCUCACGAAACUGGCAAGUCGGCACAUUGCAUGCAACCCUAUUACGUCACAUUCAGAGAAAGGCGUGGCAAAUUUCACAGUAAAAACAUUGUCCGAACGUGCUAGCGUCAAAGGGAUAGUCAAAGAUCAUGGCCCCUGCGUAGCUAUGCAAGAGGAUAUAAAAAUUGUGGCAUUUUAUGGAAGCAUUUCAAAGCUAGGCUAUCCCAAAGUGAAAAUUUGGAUUAAUUAAUUAAUAUUAACUACGGGUGCCAUCCCUAUCUAGCGCACUCUCAGAUACUGAAAAUAUUAAAAUUAUUGAUAAGAUACUAAAAAUAUUAAAAAAUUUAAUCAAAAAAUAAAAUAAUUAAUGCUAAAAUAUUUAUAUAAUACUAAAAAUAUCAAAUAAUAAAAAUAUAAAAAGGGACUUGGUACUAUGAGCGCAAGAUUCUACAUCGUGAUGUCAGUCCUACUUGCCGCAUGUGCAGUCUAGGCCUAGAAACAGUCGACCAAAUUGUGGCAGGCUGUAGUGCUCUGGUACCGAUGGACUACACUGAUCAACACAAUCAGGUGGCCUCCAUCAUUCACUGGGAUGUUUGUCGUCAUUUUGGGGUUCCAGUGGAGAGCAGAUGGUACCAGCAUCAUUCUGAUAGGCUUGUGGAGACGGAUGACAUUACUAUGAUGUGGGAUACCAACAUCCCGACUGCCAGGAAGAUCAAAGCCAAUCGUCCAGACAUCUGUCUCAGAAAUAAGAAGACAAACAGUUGUCUUCUUAUUGAUAUCAGCUGUCCUGCUGAUGGCAACAUUGGCAAGAAACAUGCUGAGAAGUUGGCGAAGUACAGCGACUUGCGAGUGGAGAUAAGCCGCAUGUGGCAUGGUCGAACACUGGUGGUUCCGGUGGUCUUGGGAGCUUUUGGCACAGUGCACGCAGGUAUUGCACGGUGGCUGGACAUUAUUCCAGGUCAUCACAACCUGCAGCACUUACAGAAAACAGUGCUUCUGGGAUGUACUCGGAUUCUUCGUAAAGUCAUGUCUUCUUUCUAGA
This is a long non-coding RNA of Corticium candelabrum, 1257 nucleotides long. RefSeq lists it as uncharacterized. The transcript has 3 exons. Lineage: Eukaryota; Metazoa; Porifera; Homoscleromorpha; Homosclerophorida; Plakinidae. The record is from RefSeq and is a predicted model, not a curated record.